UUGUGGAGAAGGACGCCGAAGGUGGGGCUGAUGACUGGGGUGAAGUCGUAACAAGGUAGCCGUACCGGAAGGUGCGGCUGGAUCACCUCCUAACAGGGAGACAAAAAAUUGAUUGUGAUGUCUAAGUUUUUUAUUCUUAGGCCGCAAUCCUGUCACCUUAAGGUCGAUCGGUACCUCAGAUUUUUGAAUUAGUUUUAUAAUUGAUUCUUUGAUUUCAGUUCCUAAACUUGUCUAGGUCACACCCAACAAAGGUUUCUCCUGGGCCAUUAGCUCAGGUGGUUAGAGCGCACCCCUGAUAAGGGUGAGGUCCCUGGUUCAAGUCCAGGAUGGCCCAUUCGUUGUUGGGGGUAUAGCUCAGUUGGUAGAGCGCCUGCUUUGCAAGCAGGAUGUCAGCGGUUCGAGUCCGCUUACCUCCACUGAAAACUAUCCUGAUAACUAAAUUCUGGAGAAAAAUUUGAAGAUGUGGCUUAGAUUUGUCUAUUCGAAAAGAACCUAGCUUCUUGUCAUCUUUUUAUAGUUGAUAAAAUGCUGGGCUCACUUGGAUUUAUUCCAUGUGUAUUCAGUAGAACCUUGAAAACUGCAUAGAUUAGAAAGAAUAAAGCAUCUCAUGGAUGCAUAAUUCUGCUUUUAUAAUUUAGCUUUAAAACUAAAUUAUAAAAGCAGAAUUAUUGUUUAAUUCUUGAGUAAAAGCCGAGCACAAUUAAUUUUGUGAUUGUAUUUAAGGUCAAGCUACAA
Molecule: unclassified non-coding RNA, 735 nt
Filed under: uncultured Prochlorococcus sp.
Lineage: Bacteria; Bacillati; Cyanobacteriota; Cyanophyceae; Synechococcales; Prochlorococcaceae
Description: partial 16S-23S ribosomal RNA intergenic spacer; may also contain 16S ribosomal RNA and 23S ribosomal RNA
Rfam family: tRNA (bases 344-416)
Source: RNAcentral